ACGACGAACAUGCUUAUCUCAAGACACUUGUGAACGUUAGUUCAAUCGAUUCAAAACUGAUGAAUAUGAUGUGAAAGACAAGGCUAAGGAAAAACCACUGAAAAAAUUUGAAGUUGCAAGCAUUGUUGGACGAAGACUCCACUCAAACUCAAUCAUAAUUGAGAGAAGUAUCAAAUGUGACUCAAAAUAUUGUUAGCGAGCGUUUGCACACAAUGGAAAAGAUUAACAUGUGUUUUUCCUCAAAAUUCUGCAUUUCAUAGAUGGUAAAAGUGGGAUCGCAACAAGAGGAAGAGAGAACGCGAAUAUGAUUGUAAGUAUAGGACCACAACAAAAAGGAAGAGAGCACGAGUAAGAUGGUAAGUAGAGAAUCGUAAUGGAUGAGAGAGAGAGAGAGAGAGAGAGAGAGAGAGAGAGAGAGAGAGA
This is a long non-coding RNA of Cyphomyrmex costatus, 423 nucleotides long. RefSeq lists it as uncharacterized. Lineage: Eukaryota; Metazoa; Arthropoda; Insecta; Hymenoptera; Formicidae. The record is from RefSeq and is a predicted model, not a curated record. The transcript has 2 exons.